This 154-nucleotide unclassified non-coding RNA is filed under the name soil metagenome. RNAcentral's name for it is "partial internal transcribed spacer 1". The record is from RNAcentral.
UAAUAAGUGUUUUAUGGCACUUUUUAAAUCCAUAUCCACCUUGUGUGCAAUGUCAGUCGAUCUUCUUCAUGGGAGAUCGACCAAGCAUCAACCCUUUAUCUUUUAACUCUUUGUCUCUAAAAAUAUAUUAAUGAACAUAAACAAUUCAAAAUAC